Molecule: transfer RNA, 92 nt
Filed under: Clostridia bacterium
Lineage: Bacteria; Bacillati; Bacillota; Clostridia
Also listed under: 1 other name
Description: tRNA-Ser
Rfam family: tRNA
About the family: Transfer RNA (tRNA) molecules are approximately 80 nucleotides in length.
Source: RNAcentral
GGAGAGAUGGCUGAGCUGGUCUAAGGCGCACGACUGGAAAUCGUGUUUAGGCUAAUACCCUAACGAGGGUUCGAAUCCCUCUCUCUCCGCCA